This 579-nucleotide long non-coding RNA is filed under the name Dromaius novaehollandiae (emu). RNAcentral's name for it is "lncRNA (ENSDNVG00000019199.1)". The record is from RNAcentral. Lineage: Eukaryota; Metazoa; Chordata; Aves; Casuariiformes; Dromaiidae.
UUUCUUCUGAUACGGCUCAAAUUUGUAAUUACAGGAACUGGCUCCUCCUGGGCUGUACCUGGGGUAAGAGGCUCAGAGGCUGUCCUGACAUCGCUGUGACCACAGUUUCACYAGCCUGAUGCAGUGCGUGCUUAUCAUCAUCUGAAAUUUCUGCUACUGGAAAGAGGGAAUCAUUCAGAAGACUUUGCUCUAGGGGGAUGCGUCGUUSCUGUAAACCUGCCAGCAAGUCAGAGCAGCGUCCCUCUGAGUCAAGUUCAUGGCUUGCCCCAGUGCCGCCUACCUCUCGAGCRUCCUGCUUAACCUCACAGCUGGCCGCCGCUACACAGCUGCCCAUCUCUGGAGCUGCUCAGCAAAACACACGCCAAGGAAAGCUGUGGGUUUCUGUCAGCUGGCGCGCCUACCACUGCGUCCUGGAGAGCCUGGAAGCACCCGGGCCUGGAGAGCAGAGGGAAGCCCCGUGCCCGCGGCACCACCCGCCCUCUGGUCUGUAGCUACCGCCGUCGUUUCCUCGUGGCGUUUGGGCUCUUGAGACGGGGCUCCGCGCUGGCCGUGCGGAUGGAGCCGGAGGGCAGAGCUCCC